RNAcentral lists this ribosomal RNA (654 nucleotides) under uncultured Glomus. Its description in RNAcentral is "SSU rRNA". It matches the Rfam family "Eukaryotic small subunit ribosomal RNA", at positions 357 to 1016 of the family's 1831-position model. The record is from RNAcentral. Lineage: Eukaryota; Fungi; Glomeromycota; Glomeromycetes; Glomerales; Glomeraceae.
GGGUAACGGGGUGUUAGGGCACGACACCGGAGAGGGAGCCUGAGAAACGGCUACCACAUCCAAGGAUGGCAGCAGGCGCGCAAAUUACCCAAUCCCGACACGGGGAGGUAGUGACAAUAAAUAACAAUACAGGGUUCUUUCGGAUUUCGUAAUUGGAAUGAGUACAAUUUAAAUCUCUUAACGAGGAACAAUUGGAGGGCAAGUCUGGUGCCAGCAGCCGCGGUAAUUCCAGCUCCAAUAGCGUAUAUUAAAGUUGCUGCAGUUAAAAAGCUCGUAGUUGAAUUUCGGGACCAUCAUGUCGGUCGUGCCUCGGUACGUACUGGCAUUGUUGGUUUCUCCCUUCUGACGAACCAUGAUGUCAUUUAUUUGGUGUUGUGGGGAAUCAGGACUGUUACUUUGAAAAAAUUAGAGUGUUUAAAGCAGGCUCACGCUUGAAUACAUUAGCAUGGAAUAAUGAAAUAGGACGUUUGAUUCUAUUUUGUUGGUUUCUAGGAUCGACGUAAUGAUUAAUAGGGAUAGUUGGGGGCAUUAGUAUUCAAUUGUCAGAGGUGAAAUUCUUGGAUUUAUUGAAGACUAACUACUGCGAAAGCAUUUGCCAAGGAUGUUUUCAUUAAUCAAGAACGAAAGUUAGGGGAUCGAAGACGAUCAGAUACC